Molecule: transfer RNA, 63 nt
Filed under: Pontoscolex corethrurus
Lineage: Eukaryota; Metazoa; Annelida; Clitellata; Crassiclitellata; Glossoscolecidae
Description: tRNA-Gly
Source: RNAcentral
ACGUUUUGAGUAUUUAAAGUACAUUUACCUUCCAAGUAAAAAGAUUGAGCAACAAAAAACGUA